GGCCACAGUCAUAUCAACCUGCAGCCCAAGACUGGUUACUUACUGAAGCUAAGCAGGGCUGAGCCUGGUCCGUAGCUGGAUUGGAGAACACAUGGGAAAACUAAGUUGCUGUUGGAA
This is a ribosomal RNA of Danio rerio (zebrafish), 117 nucleotides long. NCBI's taxonomy places the organism in Eukaryota, Metazoa, Chordata, Actinopteri, Cypriniformes, Danionidae. The record is from Ensembl.